GUGAAUCAUCAAAUUUUUGAACGCAAAUUGCGCUCUCCUCGGAGAGGAGGCCUGUUUCAGGGUCAGCCUAAAAAAAAUCGACAUCGUUGCUUUUUCGCGGUGACGUUCGUCGGAAAUGUUGGUAUCUUAAUCCUUUUGGUUUAAGCGACUUAAAAUUUUCCUUUUGAUUCCAUGUACGUUGCUGAGAUUUAUUUCCUUACACGUUUAAGGUAUCGUUUUUUAUUAGACGUUGUCGUCAUAUCGGAUCGCGUCC
RNAcentral lists this unclassified non-coding RNA (253 nucleotides) under Glomeraceae sp. Its description in RNAcentral is "partial internal transcribed spacer 2". Lineage: Eukaryota; Fungi; Glomeromycota; Glomeromycetes; Glomerales; Glomeraceae. The record is from RNAcentral.